This is a long non-coding RNA of Pimephales promelas (fathead minnow), 774 nucleotides long. RefSeq lists it as uncharacterized. Lineage: Eukaryota; Metazoa; Chordata; Actinopteri; Cypriniformes; Leuciscidae. The record is from RefSeq and is a predicted model, not a curated record.
GACCCGCACCUGGUCGGAGAGAGAGCAGGGGGAAGGCGAGCGAGAGAGGAGGGCAGCUUUAAAGCUUUUACCACUGUGCAAACAGUAGGCUGAUUGCUUUUAAUGGGAUCAACUAGAGGCCUCUGUGAGAAUCAGCCCUGCCCUGGCCAAUACCGGGAUGUCGGGUGUGGGGGCCAAGGACAGCAGCUGAUAAGACUAGACAUGACCGGGGAGAGGGGGAAGAGAGAAGAGAGAACAACCGCACAACAGAGAACAGAUAUCAACGACCUGGCGUUACUAAGAGACCAGCCUUGAUUCAUCAGCAUAUAACGGGUUUCUAAGUCUGCACAGCUCUGUUGCUCAAUCAUGGCUUAUCAUUCUGUGUCAUGGAGUGGGCCACACACUGAAGAUCGGAUCAAUAACCUGGUCCACCUCUUCCCACACAUUGUUCGACCAGGCGAGGAUAGACACCUGACUGCAUCCUGGACUGGCGACAGGUUCCUGACUCUCCCAUAACUGCCGUGCAGCCCGAGGGCAGAUAUACCGGUCUGAGCCACUUCAAAACACUUCAUACACAGGGAAACUUUUCGUAUACACGUGUUUGUUCAUUUUAUGAAUUAUGAUACCUUUAUGUUGAUAUUUUCCAAUAUUCACUCCUUAUGACUUAAGAAUAUUGAGAUAUAUACAUUUACUAAGCUAUAGCCUUGAUUUACAUUUGAUUCAGUCCUGAUAUCUUUCAAACUGAGCAUUGUUAAAUUAAAUAUAGUAUUAUUUUAUUUCUUGAGUGUCAUUUUA